This 357-nucleotide ribosomal RNA is filed under the name Triticum aestivum (bread wheat). RNAcentral describes it as "partial small subunit ribosomal RNA". Lineage: Eukaryota; Viridiplantae; Streptophyta; Magnoliopsida; Poales; Poaceae. The record is from RNAcentral.
AUGGCCAACCAUGAAGAUCCAUUGGAGAUGAAAAAUAAAGAUGAAGCACACGUCAGAGACAAGACAAUGCCUAAAAGGCUUAAAAGAUUCCUUGAUGUGCAAGAAGGAGAGCAACUACAAGAUUUCGACAUGGAACAAGUCCCAGAGUUGAGGAAGAAAAUUAUCUAUCAAAUAAUCAGCCAAUACAGAGAUACGACCGCACUGUCAUUAAUCAACUACACCACAGAUAUGCUGAACUCUGAGGUCGAUAUGGAAGAUAGAGAAAUGCAACGAAUACAUUGUGACAUAAUUCAAGAAGAGAUUCCUCCAACUCCCGAGCACAUUGGGACGAGCGCUCAAGAGAUAAAAAGUUAUUGA